UGAGCAAUCUGCCCUUCUCAUCGGAAUAAGCGUUGGAAACGACGUCUAAUGCCGAAUACGACCUCCUUUCGCAUGAUCGGAGGUGGAAAGCUCCGGCGGAGAAGGAUGAGCUCGCGGCCUAUCAGCUAGUUGGUGUGGGUAAUGACCCACCAAGGCGACGACGGGUAGCCGGCCUGAGAGGGUGACCCGGCCACACUGGGACUGAGACACGGCCCAGACUCCGUACGGGAGCAG
RNAcentral lists this ribosomal RNA (234 nucleotides) under uncultured bacterium. RNAcentral's name for it is "partial 16S ribosomal RNA". It matches the Rfam family "Bacterial small subunit ribosomal RNA", at positions 118 to 347 of the family's 1533-position model. The record is from RNAcentral.